Molecule: small RNA, 129 nt
Filed under: Aeromonas hydrophila
Lineage: Bacteria; Pseudomonadati; Pseudomonadota; Gammaproteobacteria; Aeromonadales; Aeromonadaceae
Description: RtT sRNA
Rfam family: RtT RNA
About the family: This family represents a bacterial cis-regulatory element known as RtT RNA.
Source: RNAcentral
GCCCAUGUCGAAGAAGGAUGGUAAGAACCCUCACCGGGUUCGAGCAGAGCAGCUUGCUGCGAUGAAAGGCCGCAGGCCGCCCCGAAGGAGUAAGCCACGCAGUGGCGAAUGAUCCUUCCCUCAUAACCA